This is a non-coding RNA of Cajanus cajan (pigeon pea), 223 nucleotides long. Lineage: Eukaryota; Viridiplantae; Streptophyta; Magnoliopsida; Fabales; Fabaceae. The record is from Rfam.
ACGACCUUACUUGAACAGGAUCUGUUCUAUAGGCUCGUACCUCUGUAUCCUUGAGUUCUAAGGAGACAGGAACCUACGUCUGGUGGAUGAACCAUGACCAUGAGAUCAGAGCGUGAUUAAUGGCCUGAUGAGCUUCCCUGUGGGAGGUGUGUCGUCUGGGGCCGUAGAGGAUCGUUCUCAGACAGUUAAUGGCUGAGAUGGUCUCAUGGUUGUCUGACAGACU